UGCAAGUCGAACGAUGAUGCUGGUGCUUGCACUGGUGGAUUAGUGGCGAACGGGUGAGUAACACGUGAGUAACCUGCCCCUGACUUCGGGAUAAGCCCGGGAAACUGGGUCUAAUACCGGAUAUGACUUCCUGCUGCAUGGCAGGGGGUGGAAAGAUUUAUCGGUUGGGGAUGGACUCGCGGCCUAUCAGCUUGUUGGUGAGGUAAUGGCUCACCAAGGCGACGACGGGUAGCCGGCCUGAGAGGGUGACCGGCCACACUGGGACUGAGACACGGCCCAGACUCCUACGGGAGGCAGCAGUGGGGAAUAUUGCACAAUGGGCGAAAGCCUGAUGCAGCGACGCCGCGUGAGGGAUGACGGCCUUCGGGUUGUAAACCUCUUUCAGUAGGGAAGAAGCCCCUUUUGGGGUGACGGUACUUGCAGAAGAAGCGCCGGCUAACUACGUGCCAGCAGCCGCGGUAAUACGUAGGGCGCAAGCGUUAUCCGGAAUUAUUGGGCGUAAAGAGCUCGUAGGCGGUUUGUCGCGUCUGCCGUGAAAGUCCGAGGCUCAACCUCGGAUCUGCGGUGGGUACGGGCAGACUAGAGUGAUGUAGGGGAGACUGGAAUUCCUGGUGUAGCGGUGAAAUGCGCAGAUAUCAGGAGGAACACCGAUGGCGAAGGCAGGUCUCUGGGCAUUUACUGACGCUGAGGAGCGAAAGCAUGGGGAGCGAACAGGAUUAGAUACCCUGGUAGUCCAUGCCGUAAACGUUGGGCACUAGGUGUGGGGGACAUUCCACGUUUUCCGCGCCGUAGCUAACGCAUUAAGUGCCCCGCCUGGGGAGUACGGCCGCAAGGCUAAAACUCAAAGGAAUUGACGGGGGCCCGCACAAGCGGCGGAGCAUGCGGAUUAAUUCGAUGCAACGCGAAGAACCUUACCAAGGCUUGACAUGUUCCAGACCGGGCCAGAGAUGGUCUUUCCCCUUUUGGGGCUGGUUCACAGGUGGUGCAUGGUUGUCGUCAGCUCGUGUCGUGAGAUGUUGGGUUAAGUCCCGCAACGAGCGCAACCCUCGUUCCAUGUUGCCAGCGGGUUAUGCCGGGGACUCAUGGG
RNAcentral lists this ribosomal RNA (1087 nucleotides) under Arthrobacter sp. 1033B12_12EMannit. RNAcentral describes it as "bacterial SSU rRNA". It matches the Rfam family "Bacterial small subunit ribosomal RNA", at positions 56 to 1145 of the family's 1533-position model. Lineage: Bacteria; Bacillati; Actinomycetota; Actinomycetes; Micrococcales; Micrococcaceae. The record is from RNAcentral.